This 387-nucleotide long non-coding RNA is filed under the name Taeniopygia guttata (zebra finch). RNAcentral's name for it is "lncRNA (ENSTGUG00000027331.1)". The record is from RNAcentral. Lineage: Eukaryota; Metazoa; Chordata; Aves; Passeriformes; Estrildidae.
CUGAAUUUGUCCCUUGCUGAAGCUGCCCCAUGAGGCCUGACUGCUGGAUAACUGAGCUUCUCCAUUGCUUAUUAGAAGCAAUUGGCUGCAGCAAUAGUGAAAAGAGAUACUUAAAGCAUGGAAAAAUGUGACAUUCCAUUGGAGGAGACAGAUAUCCAAGCUUCCCUUACUUGUAAGUAUGGAUCUGAAGAAAGGCAGAUAAGGUGUGCUGACAGAUGGGACAGCCCAAUGGCAAAUUGCCCAUCAGCUGGGACAGAUGUUUGGUGCCAUUGGAAGAAAAACCUGCAAACCUGGAACAAUGGGUUACUGCUGGAUUCUGCUACUCUUUUUUUUUCCAGACUCUCUGCUUUCUGUGGUGAUCAGCUACAGGAGUGGAAAAGAAGCGGG